Molecule: RNA transcript, 6915 nt
Organism: Anolis carolinensis (green anole)
Lineage: Eukaryota; Metazoa; Chordata; Lepidosauria; Squamata; Anolidae
Gene: spef2
Gene name: sperm flagellar 2
Exons: 36
Source: RefSeq, a predicted model, not a curated record
UUGCGCCUGCGCGGGUGCCUCGGUUGCCAUGGUGACAGGACGCGGAACGUUCGAGCCGGUCUCGAGCCCAGCAGCAGUGAAGCCGAGAGGGGCGCGAGGAGCCCCGGCUCGCGGCCAUGACGGGCAUCCUCUGUGAUUGGCUGAACCGAGAAGUGAAGAUCUCGCGCACAGUGGAUAAGGAGUCUUUCUCCAGAGAAUUUUCUUCUGGUUAUCUCAUUGGAGAACUUCUUAACAAGUUUGAACUUCAAGAAGACUUUGAUCAAUUUUCACAAAGCAGGGUUGCUAGUGCAAAGCUUAACAAUUUUUCUCGGAUGGAGCCCACCCUUCAACUUUUGAAAGUGCAAUUUGACCAAAAUGUAGCCCGAAACAUCAUGACAGAGCAGCAUGGAGCUGCCACCAAACUCAUAUACCAAUUAUAUGUGGCUCUGGAGAAGAAGAAGAAAGCAGGACUCACUGGGGUUGCCAUGGAUGCAAUGAGACCCUCAGCACAUGCAAAGCUCAGAAGUGUAGGAACAGAGAUGUAUCGAGAGCGCCUUAAAAGCCUGGUACCACGGCAGACAGAACUGACACUUCUGCAGAUUUCAGACAGCUUUCAUAAAAAAGCCGAUAACCUGGAAAGUAAAAUAUAUUAUAUGGAAUUGGCAAAUCAAGAGAAAGCAAAGAAAAUCCAGGGGAGAAAAGCAGAAGACAUGGAAAAGAAAAUUUUAGAAAAACAAAAGCAAAAUGAAAUAAUGGCUAAGAUACAAGCAGCCAUUGUCCAGAUUCCAAAACCAAUGCCGCAGCACACUGUCAAGGCGAUCGAAGAACAAAAAAUGCUGAGGAAGAAGAAAGAAGCAGAGAACACAUACACAGAAAUCAUGAAGUUUGAGAAGAUGAUGAGAAAAGAGACCAUCAUACCCACUAAGCUCACUGAAAGCAUGAUACAGGGCCGUGAUGUUGCAACCCCAACGAUCACUGAGCUGUUGAGCACCUACUCUGAUGACGAGUAUAUCCGGAAAGUUCAGAAACGUCUAGAGGAAGACACAUUUGCUCGUGAACAGCGGGAGAAAAGACGCCGGAAGAUGUUAAGAGAACAACUAAUUGCUCAUGAAGCACAAGAAGAGGCAUAUAGAGAGGAGCAGCUCAUCAACAGGCUGAUGAGACAGUCACAGCAGGAGCGAAGAAUUGCUGUGCAGCUGUUGCAUGUGAAGCAUGAGAAAGAAGUGAUGUGGCAGGACAGAAUUUUCAGAGAAAAACAGUUUGAAGAAAGGCGGCUGAAAGAAUUCCAAGAAGCUCUUGACAGAGAAGCGGCUCUUGCAAAACAAGAAAAAAUUGAAUUUGAGGAACAGGCUCACAAGGAAAAACAACUGCAUGCCAAACUUGCUGCUCAGAGAGCCGAGGAACGCUAUAAGAAGCAUUUUGCAAUCUGUUGGGAGGUAGUUGAUCAAAUCAUCGACUUGGUGACCAAAAUAGGAGAGUAUCGGACACUGACAAACAACUUAAUCCCAAUCAAGAUAAUGCGUGACUGGAAGGAGCUAUUCCUAAAAGGGAAACCAAUUUAUGAGCAGGCUGAACUCGAUCCUUUGCCAGCUGAUCCAACUCCAGAUCAAAUAAUAGAAUUUGAAAAAAUGGAUAUACUAGAUGAAAAAGACUAUGAUGAAUACAAGAUUAUGAUUGAAGAAUGGUAUCCACCUGAAGAAAUCAGAGCAAAUAAGCCUCCACCCAGUAAUAUAAUACUAGGUCAUGUGGUUCAUAGAUUGAUGGGAUUGUUCUAUCCUCCAGAGCCUGAGCCGCCUCCACCUGUAUCCUCUCCAUUUCCAAUCAAGGGAUGUAUUUUGGGAAAGCUCUUCAGUGGCAAAACCACAUGUUUAAAGUUCUUGGAAGAAGCUUGCAACAUCCAUGUAUUAUCUAUUGAUACACUAAUCGCAGAGGCUAUCCAAGCUUAUCAUGAAAAGGAAAUGUCAAGUGAAACAAGUCUGCUUCAAGUCUCUAAACUGGAUAUCCCUUCCAUGGAUCAAAUUGCUGUCCUGAAGGAAGCUUCCAGGGCUUCACUGACAGCAUUAAAAGCUUACUAUGACAUAGCAGAGGUGAACUUCAGCUUGACUCCUACAGUAAAAGACUUUGAGAAAAAAGCAGGCUCUGUUCAACUAAGUGACCAAGAGGAGAUGAGUGACCUUGGAGAUGAAUUAACUAAAUUCUCUAUUCGUGCUCAGCUCGGUGGAGGAGCAGAAACAUUGUUAAAGAAAGGAAAAAGUAUUCCAGAUGAAUUACUUGUUGGCAUCAUGGUGGAAGCCAUUAGUCGAUUGCCACCAGAAAAGGGUUGGAUCUUGGAUGGAUUCCCGAUGACACUGAAUCAAGCAAAACUGCUUGAAAAGGCAUUGGGUAGGAGAGAUCCAGACGAGGAAGAAGUAAAUGCUAAAGUCUUGAAGAAGCACAACUUGGUUAUUGAUCCAGCAGCUCCAAAAGAACCAGCUGUUCACCCACCUGGUCUUGACUUUGUCAUUUUGUUGGAUGUUUCAGACUCCAUUGUGCUGGACCGCAUAGCAUUUGGGAGGUCAAAGGACUCCUAUCAAAGCGAACAAGAAAGAGGUGAUCAAGUGUCAGAUGCUGAACUCCAGAGAAGAGAAAAAGCAGAUUCAGUGAGAGGCCAGAUGCAACACAGACUUGUACGUUUCUUGGAAACAUGGCCAGAUCUAAAAACCUGGUAUGCCAAUCAGCAAAAUAUACUAAUAAAAGUCAACGCAGAGAUGGAAGAGAAUCUUAUGUGUCAAAGGGUGAAACAAAUAAUAAUGGAACAACUUGUUAAAAUUGAAAAUGAACGAAAAGAAAAGGAAAAGAUAGAAGCUGAAAAACUACAAGAGGUGAUCCUUCCCAUACCUCAAGAGGCCAUUAGCCCAGAGAAAGUGGAGGAAGUGUCUCCCACUCCUACUGUAGAAAUUCAGCCACCACCCUCUCCUCCAGUAGACACUAAAGAAUCCCCUACAGCAGAGACACCUGUUAAAGGUAAAAAGAAAAAGAAACGUGAUUCAUCCAAAGGAAAAGAAUCAGGAAGUAAACCAGGCACUCCACGUGGAAAAGCACAAAAAUCUUUGUCACCUUCCCCUGAAGAUGUGUUGCCUCCUGCUCCUAUAGAACCACCUCCAAUUAAACCAGGAUCAAAUGAAUGGGUUUAUAUUGAUGAACCACUACCCCAAGAAGUGCCUGAAUUUUUAGUUCCUUAUUGGGAAACUGUGGAGAAGACAUAUGUGAAUAACAUCAAAGCAACACUUAGGUGCCUGAGAGCUGAACAACAUGUUAUAAUUUAUUAUCUUUCAGACAUAAGAAAUCAUUUUAAGGAAUACUUAAAACGCCCUGACCAUAAGCAAGAGUUUGUGACUCAGUGGCAAGCAGAUUAUAACUCAGUGGCUGAUGAUUUAUGGGAUGAUGAUGAAACGAAAGAAGAACUACACCAAAGAGUCACUGAUCUACGAGACCGUCUAUGGGAUAUCUGUGAAAAUAGAAGGAAUGAAGCUGAGCAAGAGCGUUGUGCUAUCAUGAAUGAUGGGUGGUUGCCUGACCGAAUGGUGCUUUUGAUGGACCACAUUUUUUCACUUAUGCAGAAUGAACUGGAUCGCUUCCAGGAUACCAAGAGACUUUUACACGACUAUUACAGAGGAAUGGAAGGCAAAAUUCCAACAGAUAGUAGCACCGAGUUUAUCAGAAUACCCUUGAUAGAAUUAGUUGAAAAAGAACAACUCCUGGAAGCGGGCAAGACCAGCAGAAUCCCAACAAUUGCUCAUAGAUCUCCUUCUCCAGAAGUGAACAGGGAAAGAAUGAGAGCUAUUCCAGUGAAACUCAAAGAAGAUCUGUUUUCUGAAAGUGCCAUAUUUAAUGUUAGUCCAGAUGAGAAACUAAUCAUGGAGACAUGGCACAAUGUUGUAACAGCCAUCACUAACAUGGUUACUUCAGAGAUACAGUCUUUUGAAGCAGAGGAAGAAAAAGAACGCCUUCAGCAAGAAAUGAAGGAAAAAGAGCGUCUAAAAUCUUCCCAAGCCGUUGCUGGCAAAGGUGGAAAAGAAGGGAAAGGAAAAGGAAAAGGUGGAAAAGGAGGCAAGGAAGGAAAAGGAGGAAAGGAAGGGAAAGGUGGAAAAGAAGCCAAAGCAAAGGAGUCCAAAGAUACCAAGAAAGGGAAGAAGAAAAAUAAACAAGGUGUUUCUCCUCCAGUGCCAGAAGCAACACCAAUUCCUUUAUCCCCAGAAGAAUUAAAGAAGUUAGAAAUGAAGCAUAAAAUGAAACAGGAAUACUUUGCUGCACUAGAUCAUGAAGUGGAGGCUGCAAAAUCUCGACUUGAGUUGUUAAAAGUUAAAGCACUAGCCUUCAUGGAGGAUCUACAUUCAAAAGCAGAAGUUACAUACAGGAAUAUGGAAAAGUGGCUUGGAGAAAGAUUUCUGAUUGAAAUGUCCAGUGUUGAGAAAUUAACUGAGGUUGCCCGCAACCACAUUGAAACGUCUACCAGAAUGCAAUAUGAACUUGUUCUGGAAGGUACCGAGUUUUACAUUAAUGGGGAUAUCAAAGUAUUUCCGGAUGCAGUCCCUCCGCCUCGUCCUCCAUCUGUGGAAACUCCUACGGUUGACACUCUGACUAUUUCACAGCUUAGCACACUUCACAAGCAGUUUCUGAAGGUGGCACCUAAAGCCAUAGCAGCGCUGAAGGAAUUGAAAAGAAAGAAUGUCACCUCCAGCAAUCGCAAGGAUUUCAAGAAAAAUCGACAGUUUCAAAAAACAUGGUUGUCUAAAUACCCUUGGCUAAAACAUGACAGUGACAGGGGCACAAUGUACUGUGCUUUAUGUCGGAAACAUAAUGUGGAUUUAGGGGAGAAGACACACAACUUUUGUUCUGGGACUGAUGAUUUCAUAAUUGAAAUAAUUGGUGAACACCAUAGUAGUGAAGCUCAUGCUUGGGCGACCUGUAUGGAAGAAGCUAGUAGUUGUGCCCCAGACACAGCUACCACUGAGCAGAUGCUAAAGAGCAUGAGUAAAACAACCCUAGGAAGAAUAGAAAACCUCUUCAGAACAUGUCAUGCUAUUGCCAAAACUGGGCGCCCCUUCACAGACCUGGACUGGAUAUGCCAACUAGAUGAUAUGAAAGGGGUGGACAUUGGUUCUAUAUUUAGAAAUGACAAAACAGCAAGAAUCUUCAUUCAUUUUAUUGCUGAAGUGGAGCGCAGGACUUUGAAAGAGAAAUUGGAAAAAUGCAAGUUUUUCUCACUCAUUAGCGAUAGCGUUACGGACAGUGCAAACAAAGAAGCUGCCCUGGUAUAUGUACGUUUUGCGAAACAAGGAAAGAUCCACUGCCAAAUUGUUGGAGUUCAGUCUCUGGAAAGAUGUGAUGCUUCCACUGUGAAAAAUGCCAUCAUGAAACUGUUACAGACCAAUUUGCAGCUUAAUCUGCCAAGCCAAGAUUGGGCCAAAAAACUAGUUGGCUUUGGAAGUGAUGGCGGAGACAUUAUGGUGGGACAAAAUAAUGGUGUGGCUAAAUUACUGAAGGAAAUCCAGCCACGUAUUCAGAGUGUGCAUUGUCUUAUGCAUCGCCUUGAAAUAGCUUACAAGACAGCACUCCAGAGCAUCCCACUAUACAUGAUUGUAACAGGUUUCUUGAAAAACAUAUAUUAUUUUUAUCACAACUCUCCACUGAAUAAGAGCAACCUCAAGAUAGUUUAUGAAGCUCUCAAACUACGACAAACAGUUCCUUCUCGAAUUGGUGGCACCCAAUGGCUAUCUCGUUUGCAAACAGGACUUCAAAUCAUUCUUAAAGGAUAUCCAGCAAUUGUCCUACACUUAAAUAAGAUAGAAGAUGAACCAUGUUCUUCAAAUCAACAGAAAGCCAAAGACUUCUUAAAGCUCCUUCUGAGUACAGACGUUAUUAAGUUUUCACACUUCUUGCUGGACGUCAUUAAUGUCCUCAACAUUUUAUCUCGUGUUACUCAGGACCAGAACUCUUCUAUUGCAGACGUGUUUGCAACAUAUCAAUCCACACAGGAUACUCUCCAAAUGUAUCAAGCAAGAUCGGGACCAAGGGAGCGUCAGGUGGAAACUAUCACACACUUUCAUGGAUAUCAGCUUAUAGGAGAUGGCAAUAUAUCAGCAGUACGGAUAGAAUUAUUAAGCAGUCUUUUGAAUCAGCUACUUGAUUGUUUUUGUGAUGCUAGUGAAGCUGUUUUGAGAGCAAGCACUAUUGGAAGUUUUAAGCUGUGGCCAGACAAAAUCAAAUCAGACUUUGGUGAAGUGGAAGUUUCUGUUCUGCUGAAGUAUUAUGAUCUGAUCCUGAAAUGUGCCAAUGUGAAAAUGAAUGACAUUGAAACCGAAUGGAACAUGUUGAAAGUGGAGCUAUAUAAUCGAUAUCGAAACAUACGGAGCUUAAAAUGGGACCUGGUGAACGCAGAAUAUUUUCAUAAAUAUCCAAAUAUCCUCACCCUCAUAGAUUUAGUUCUGACACUGCCAGCAAGUUCCAAUGAAGCAGCUCGAGGUUUCUGUCAAAUGAAGCUUACAAUGAUGCAGAAACAUUCAAAGCAAAUAUUUGAAAGCAUGACUGAUCUCAUGGUUAUUCAGAUGAAUUCUCCAGAUAUCAACAACUUUGAUCCCCAAAAAGCUAUUCAGUUGUGGAAUAUUUAUUGCCAAAGGAAUAGAAAAUUGCAGGCUGCUCAGCCUGAAAGAGUAGAUUAUUCAUCUGACUCUGAAUGGGAAACAGAAAGUUCACUUGGUAGUGAUUAGCCUGCCUUCUAUAAACAGUUUUAGCAAUGUGCAUAGAUUUUUGAAAUUGAUUUGGAAUCACUUCAGUAAACAUAAGUCAGGUUUAAUGCUAAGCAAAACAUUCACUGACAUUUUUUUUGACUUGGUUACAUUGAACCUUGGUUCAAACAGUCUUCCAGAUGCCUGGACGCACCUCUCCAUUUAUGAU